Molecule: transfer RNA, 84 nt
Filed under: Penicillium oxalicum 114-2
Lineage: Eukaryota; Fungi; Ascomycota; Eurotiomycetes; Eurotiales; Aspergillaceae
Also listed under: 1 other name
Description: tRNA-Leu (TAA) (tRNA-Leu-TAA-1-1)
Rfam family: tRNA
About the family: Transfer RNA (tRNA) molecules are approximately 80 nucleotides in length. Their secondary structure includes four short double-helical elements and three loops (D, anti-codon, and T loops).
Source: RNAcentral
GCGAGUGUGGCCGAGUGGUCUAAGGCGGUCGACUUAAGCUCGACUGGGCAAUCGCCCUCGCGCGUUCGAACCGCGUCGCUCGCA